AGGGGGCUGAAAUAGUAUUUAAAAGUUCAGAACAGGAAAACGGCUCUCUCCUAGAGAGAAAUUUAAUGAGGGCUCUCUUACCAUUCCAAAUCCUGUUCCUGGCUGUCCAACAGGUGGUGCCCCAGCAACAGGAGGAACUGAACUAGCAGAAGUCAUUUGAAUGCAAUCCAAGGCAGAAAAAAGAAGUGAACUGACUGCAGCAAAUUGUAUGUAACAGUUCUGCUGUGCUACAUAAUGGAUAAUGAUGUGCCAGUCAUCUAAGAAGAUUGGAAUUUGGCAAAAGAACUCACCGGAUAAGAGAUCAGCAGUGAGAGAACUCUCAGGCACAGGAGAAGCCCCAUGUGGAGGAGAUGAGAAAGCAUCUUCCAAAAGUGAAACAAACCAAAAUCAAGCAGAAGUUUUUUUCUGUGGAAUUCAGACACCAGGGUCCAGACACUGCCUUGAUGACUAAGAGGUCUUUCUCCCAGAGCAGAAAACUUGAAUGCCAGACUUUUACUUCCUAUACCAAUAAGGAUAACAAUCACCAUGAUAAGUUUAUAAACAGAAAGCUAACUAAUCAUCACUCCACUCAGCACGUAAAGAUGCAGUUGGCUAGAUGUAUUAUCCUUAAAACAAAAGUACCUUUAUUUUUUGCCUGCUGGAGAUCAUCUUAAAAAGGUAUAUUAGAGAUAAAGGAGUUUGAAUUAUGCUGCUCUAGGUAUCUGCAGAACUCAAUCACCAGGACAAUGGAUAAACAUUUCUCAGAGAAUUUGGUCAAUAACU
Monodelphis domestica (gray short-tailed opossum) is the source of this 762-nucleotide long non-coding RNA. RefSeq lists it as uncharacterized. NCBI's taxonomy places the organism in Eukaryota, Metazoa, Chordata, Mammalia, Didelphimorphia, Didelphidae. The record is from RefSeq and is a predicted model, not a curated record.